This 603-nucleotide long non-coding RNA is filed under the name Homo sapiens (human). Its description in RNAcentral is "HSPA5 divergent transcript (HSPA5-DT)". The record is from RNAcentral. Lineage: Eukaryota; Metazoa; Chordata; Mammalia; Primates; Hominidae.
UCCCGCCUUCACUCCCGGCCCUAGGGGGUCGGAGUAGGUCCAGCAGGAGUGACCCCCCGGGGCUGUGGGAUCUGAAACUUUUUCUUCUCUACUGCUUGUUCUCCCUUCCUCCAUCCCUCACCCCGAAGCGGGAAGCAGCUUUCUCUUCCCAGCUUCCAUCCAGUCUCUGAGUAGACCAGUCGCAGCUUAGAUGCUGGGAUCGCCUCAGAACACAUUUCUUUGCCCUUCACGGCCACUACCGGUAUUGGGGUAUGCGAGUCUCAGGGCCGUUCGUUGCUCACAGGUCGAGCUGGUCUGGACUCUGUUCGACCACGAAUCAUGACUCCUUCCUGCCAGUUAUGUCCCCUCCGCACCCUUGCCCAGCCAUUUUACCAGGCCUCUCCACAUUGCGCUGCCCCACGGACCUUAUCAAGCUUGAAGAUCUUUAAAAAGAAAAGUAAAAGUAAUGCAAGAGAACAAAAAGAUUGUCAGUGAAAGAUAUAUAAUUGCAUUAAGAUGUGGCCCUAAUCUUUCCACAGUCAAGCGUGUACUACUAUUUCACAGCAUUUUCCUUUCCAAACUGUGUGCCAAAUAAAUCGGGGUCUCCAACCCCAGAGCCGUGAA